Molecule: long non-coding RNA, 638 nt
Filed under: Malus domestica (apple)
Lineage: Eukaryota; Viridiplantae; Streptophyta; Magnoliopsida; Rosales; Rosaceae
Description: long non-coding RNA (MDOM_LNC011200)
Source: RNAcentral
GCCCUCUUGGGAGAGAGAAUGGCCGGCCUUUUGGGUAAUUUUUAAGUGUAAUGGGUGAUUUAUUUGGUAAUUAAUGGAUUAAUUAGGUAAUAAAUCCAUUAAUUGGCCAAUUAACUCAAUUUAUAUGGAAUGUUUUGAAGGUUAUGGAAUAAUUUCCUUGUAGGAAAUAUAGGAUGAGGUUGGAUGAAAUAGUUUUGAAUUUGUUACCUAUUUUGGGCACUUUUGACUUGGUUGAGUGAUGAUUGCCCGUUGAUCGCGCGUAGGAAUCCCAUUAUGCCUAAAGGGUAUUUUUGUCCUCUUUUAUCCAAAAAUCCACGUGUCGCCUUGUGAUUAUUUUUGGCUCCACAAAUGCCCUCACACCUGUUGGGCUGCUUGCAGGAAAGGGCAGCAGGUGUAGAGAUCUUCUUGCUUUACGAAACUUUGGAUUGAUUCCUAUUUUGAUGUAGAUUCCCUUUUUAAUAGGAAAUUAGAUCCUUCUAGGAAAGGGAAAUAAAUUUCUCUCAAAGCCUAUUUAAGUCCACCUAAGUGGAUUAUUAAAUCAACUUUGAAGAGCAAUUUAUUCUACCCUACAAGAGAGAGAGAGAUUAAAGGAUAUUUGUUCCCCCUCCUCUAGCAAUCUUUUACAUCUUGCCUGUGCA